Molecule: ribosomal RNA, 454 nt
Filed under: uncultured bacterium
Lineage: Bacteria
Description: bacterial SSU rRNA
Rfam family: Bacterial small subunit ribosomal RNA
Source: RNAcentral
UACGGAAGGCAGCAGUGGGGAAUAUUGCACAAUGGGCGCAAGCCUGAUGCAGCCAUGCCGCGUGUAUGAAGAAGGCCUUCGGGUUGUAAAGUACUUUCAGUCGUGAGGAAGGUGUUAAGGUUAAUAACCUUAGCAAUUGACGUUAGCGACAGAAGAAGCACCGGCUAACUCCGUGCCAGCAGCCGCGGUAAUACGGAGGGUGCGAGCGUUAAUCGGAAUUACUGGGCGUAAGGGGCACGCAGGCGGUUAAUUAAGUUGGAUGUGAAAUCCCCGGGCUUAACCUGGGAAUGGCAUUCAAGACUGGUUAGCUAGAGUCUUGUAGAGGGGGUAGAAUUCCAUGUGUAGCGGUGAAAUGCGUAGAGAUGUGGAGGAAUACCGGUGGCGAAGGCGGCCCCUGGGACAAAGGCUGACGCUCAUGUGCGAAAGCGUGGGGAGCAAACAGGGAUUAGAUACC